AACACGUGGGAACGUGCCUUUAGGUUCGGAAUAACUCAGAGGAAACUUGUGCUAAUACCGAAUGUGCCCUUCGGGGGAAAGAUUUAUCGCCUUUAGAGCGGCCCGCGUCUGAUUAGCUAGUUGGUGAGGUAAAGGCUCACCAAGGCGACGAUCAGUAGCUGGUCUGAGAGGAUGAUCAGCCACAUUGGGACUGAGACACGGCCCAAACUCCUACGGGAGGCAGCAGUGGGGAAUCUUGCGCAAUGGGCGAAAGCCUGACGCAGCCAUGCCGCGUGAAUGAUGAAGGUCUUAGGAUUGUAAAAUUCUUUCACCGGGGACGAUAAUGACGGUACCCGGAGAAGAAGCCCCGGCUAACUUCGUGCCAGCAGCCGCGGUAAUACGAAGGGGGCUAGCGUUGCUCGGAAUUACUGGGCGUAAAGGGAGCGUAGGCGGACAUUUAAGUCAGGGGUGAAAUCCCGGGGCUCAACCUCGGAAUUGCCUUUGAUACUGGGUGUCUUGAGUAUGAGAGAGGUGUGUGGAACUCCGAGUGUAGAGGUGAAAUUCGUAGAUAUUCGGAAGAACACCAGUGGCGAAGGCGACACACUGGCUCAUUACUGACGCUGAGGCUCGAAAGCGUGGGGAGCAAACAGGAUUAGAUACCCUGGUAGUCCACGCCGUAAACGAUGAUUGCUAGUUGUCGGGAUGCAUGCAUUUCGGUGACGCAGCUAACGCAUUAAGCAAUCCGCCUGGGGAGUACGGUCGCAAGAUUAAAACUCAAAGGAAUUGACG
RNAcentral lists this ribosomal RNA (768 nucleotides) under Brevundimonas sp. RNAcentral describes it as "bacterial SSU rRNA". It matches the Rfam family "Bacterial small subunit ribosomal RNA", at positions 112 to 915 of the family's 1533-position model. Lineage: Bacteria; Pseudomonadati; Pseudomonadota; Alphaproteobacteria; Caulobacterales; Caulobacteraceae. The record is from RNAcentral.